Non-coding RNA from Paramuricea clavata, 393 nucleotides. The record is from the annotation of a GenBank genome assembly. Lineage: Eukaryota; Metazoa; Cnidaria; Anthozoa; Malacalcyonacea; Plexauridae.
GUUAUUUGUAUAUAUAAAUUUUCCGCCAUAUUAAAAAACUGAAAUUUGCUAGGCGUUCUGAUGCACCUUUAGCGUUUAGCUUAGUGACGUCACACCUAGGUCCUAGUCUCGUACUACAUCUCCCGCUUGCUUUAGAACGACUGGGACUAGGCUGUGUACUAGUUAAAACACUCAUUAAUAAUUCAAAGCUUAUUGGCAAAUCAUGUCAACCAUAAUAUGUCAAGUGCAGUGGCUUUAAACCUGAUAAAACACUCUUAAUUAGUAUUCUUUAUAUAAAGAAUACUAAUAAGGCAGUAUAUCUAUUGAAUUUGUAGUCGUGUUUGAAGCCGUUUAAUAAACUCGCAGGUCGUGUUUUAUUAGGUCUAAAGCCACUCACGCCUCGUGGCUUUAAAC